UUGACCUCGGAUCAGGUAGGAAUACCCGCUGAACUUAAGCAUAUCAAUAAGCGGAGGAAAAGAAACCAACAGGGAUUGCCCCAGUAACGGCGAGUGAAGCGGCAACAGCUCAAAUUUGAAAUCUGGCCCCAGGCCCGAGUUGUAAUUUGCAGAGGAUGCUUUUGGCGCGGUGCCUUCCGAGUUCCCUGGAACGGGACGCCAUAGAGGGUGAGAGCCCCGUACGGUUGGACACCAAGUCUUUGUAAAGCUCCUUCGACGAGUCGAGUAGUUUGGGAAUGCUGCUCAAAAUGGGAGGUAUAUUUCUUCUAAAGCUAAAUAUUGGCCAGAGACCGAUAGCGCACAAGUAGAGUGAUCGAAAGAUGAAAAGCACUUUGAAAAGAGGGUUAAACAGCACGUGAAAUUGUUAAAAGGGAAGCGCUUAUGACCAGACUUGCGCCCGGUGAAUCACCCAGCUCUCGCGGCUGGGGCACUUUGCCGGCUCAGGCCAGCAUCAGCUCGCUGUCGGGGACAAAAGCUUCGGGAACGUAGCUCUCUUCGGGGAGUGUUAUAGCCCGUUGCAUAAUACCCUUCGGCGGGCUGAGGUACGCGCUCCGCAAGGAUGCUGGCGUAAUGGUCAUCAGCGACCCGUCUUGAAACACGGACCAAGGAGUCAACCUUAUGUGCGAGUGUUUGGGUGUUAAACCCCUACGCGUAAUGAAAGUGAACGCAGGUGAGAGCUUCGGCGCAUCAUCGACCGAUCCUGAUGUUCUCGGAUGGAUUUGAGUAAGAGCAUAUAGGGUUGGACCCGAAAGAAGGUGAACUAUGCGUGUAUAGGGUGAAGCCAGAGGAAACUCUGGUGGAGGCUCGCAGCGGUUCUGACGUGCAAAUCGAUCGUCAAAUAUGCGCAUGGGGGCGAAAGACUAAUCGAACCUUCUAGUAGCUGGUUUCCGCCGAAGUUUCCCUCAGGAUAGCAGUGUUGAACUCAGUUUUAUGAGGUAAAGCGAAUGAUUAGGGACUCGGGGGCGCUAUAUUGCCUUCAUCCAUUCUCAAACUUUAAAUAUGUAAGAAGCCCUUGUUACUUAGUUGAACGUGGGCAUUCGAAUGUAUCAACACUAGUGGGCCAUUUUUGGUAAGCAGAACUGGCGAUGCGGGAUGAACCGAACGCGAGGUUAAGGUGCCAGAGUAGACGCUCAUCAGACACCACAAAAGGUGUUAGUACAUCUUGACAGCAGGACGGUGGCCAUGGAAGUCGGAAUCCGCUAAGGACUGUGUAACAACUCACCUGCCGAAUGUACUAGCCCUGAAAAUGG
This 1289-nucleotide ribosomal RNA is filed under the name Colletotrichum boninense. RNAcentral's name for it is "eukaryotic LSU rRNA". It matches the Rfam family "Eukaryotic large subunit ribosomal RNA", at positions 1 to 1321 of the family's 3401-position model. The record is from RNAcentral. Lineage: Eukaryota; Fungi; Ascomycota; Sordariomycetes; Glomerellales; Glomerellaceae.